GAUGAACGCUGGCGGCGUGCCUAAUACAUGCAAGUCGAACGAAGAUCUAGCUUGCUAGAUCUUAGUGGCGAACGGGUGAGUAAUACAUAAAUAAUCUGCCCAUAUGACUGGGAUAACUAUUGGAAACGAUAGCUAAUACCGGAUAGGUUGAUCGGAGGCAUCUCUGAUGAAUUAAAGUAGGAUUUCUACACAAAUGGAUGAGUUUAUGGCGCAUUAGUUAGUUGGUGGGGUAACGGCCUACCAAGACGAUGAUGCGUAGCCGACCUGAGAGGGUGACCGGCCACACUGGGACUGAGACACGGCCCAGACUCCUACGGGAGGCAGCAGUAGGGAAUUUUCGGCAAUGGGCGCAAGCCUAACCGAGCAACGCCGCGUGAGUGAUUAAGGCCUUCGGGUUGUAAAGCUCUGUUGUAAGGGAAGAACAUUCAGGAUAGGAAAUGAUCUUGAACUGACGGUACCUUACCAGAAAGCCACGGCUAACUACGUGCCAGCCGCCGCAGUAA
Molecule: ribosomal RNA, 503 nt
Filed under: uncultured bacterium
Lineage: Bacteria
Description: partial 16S ribosomal RNA
Rfam family: Bacterial small subunit ribosomal RNA
Source: RNAcentral